This 473-nucleotide ribosomal RNA is filed under the name uncultured bacterium. RNAcentral's name for it is "bacterial SSU rRNA". It matches the Rfam family "Bacterial small subunit ribosomal RNA", at positions 28 to 497 of the family's 1533-position model. The record is from RNAcentral.
GACGAACGCUGGCGGCGUGCCUAACACAUGCAAGUCGAACGAAACUUCUUUAAAGGAUUUCUUCGGAAUGAAUUUGAUUAAGUUUAGUGGCGGACGGGUGAGUAACGCGUGAGUAACCUGCCUCUAAGAGGGGAAUAACAUUCUGAAAAGAAUGCUAAUACCGCAUAACAUAUAUUUAUCGCAUGGUAGAUAUAUCAAAGAUUUAUCGCUUAGAGAUGGACUCGCGUCCGAUUAGUUAGUUGGUGAGGUAACGGCUCACCAAGACCGCGAUCGGUAGCCGGACUGAGAGGUUGAACGGCCACAUUGGGACUGAGACACGGCCCAGACUCCUACGGGAGGCAGCAGUGGGGGAUAUUGCGCAAUGGGGGAAACCCUGACGCAGCAACGCCGCGUGAAGGAUGAAGGUCUUCGGAUUGUAAGCUUCUUUUAUUAAGGACGAAGAAAGUGACGGUACUUAAUGAAUAAGCUCCGGC